Molecule: unclassified non-coding RNA, 207 nt
Filed under: Hevea brasiliensis (rubber tree)
Lineage: Eukaryota; Viridiplantae; Streptophyta; Magnoliopsida; Malpighiales; Euphorbiaceae
Source: RNAcentral
GGGAGGUGUUGUUAUUUUGAGCUGGGGAAGCAAGUGCAUGCUGGUGUUGUAAAGGGUGGAUUAAGUAAUUUGAUCUUAGAUAGUUCGGUUGUGUCUUUUUACGCGCAAUGUGGGGAUUUGGCAAGUGCUUUCCGCGUUUUUGACGUGAUAAAACGCCCUGAUGUAGUUUGUUGGACAACUAUGAUCACUGCUUGUUCACAGCAUGGG